Molecule: unclassified non-coding RNA, 387 nt
Filed under: soil metagenome
Description: partial contains 5.8S ribosomal RNA, internal transcribed spacer 2, and large subunit ribosomal RNA
Rfam family: 5.8S ribosomal RNA (bases 1-120)
Source: RNAcentral
GAUGAAGAACGUAGCGAAAUGCGAUAAGUAAUGUGAAUUGCAGAAUUCAGUGAAUCAUCGAAUCUUUGAACGCACCUUGCGCUCCUUGGUAUUCCGAGGAGCAUGCCUGUUUGAGUGUCAUGAAAUUCUCAAACCCAUAAGUCUUUGCGGGCUUACGGGCUUUGGACUUGGAGGCUUGUCGGCGACCGUAAAGUCACAUCGACUCCUCUCAAAUGCAUUAGCUUGAUUCCUUGCGGAUCGGCUCUCGGUGUGAUAAUUGUCUACGCCGUGACCGUGAAGCGUUUUGGCGAGCUUCUAACCGUCUCUAACGAGACAGCUUACUUUGACCUCUGACCUCAAAUCAGGUAGGACUACCCGCUGAACUUAAGCAUAUCAAUAAGCGGAGGA